UCGGGAAACUGAGAAUAAUGCCCAAUAGUCCACUACGCCUGGAACGGUGAGUGGAUCAAAGCCCCGGCGGCAUAGGAUGGGCCUGCGCCGUAUCAGGUUGUAGGGGGUGUAAAGUACCCUCUAGCCAUCAACGCGUACGGGUGUUGGGAGACAUUGCCCGGAGAUGGAUUCUGAGACACGAAUCCAGACCCUACGGGGUGCAGCAGGCGCGAAAACUUGGCAAUGCGAGCAAUCGUGACCAGGGAACUCCAAGUGCGUAGGGUAAGACCUACGCUUUUCUUGACUCUACAAAGGUCUUGGAAUAAGGGGUGGGUAAGGACGGUGCCAGCCGCCGCGGUAAUACCGGCGCCUCAAGUGGUAGUCGCUUUUAUUGGGCCUAAAACGUCCGUAGCCGGUCUGGUGCAUUCGUGGGUAAAUCAACCCGCUCAACGGGUUGAAUUCUGCGAGCACGGCCAGACUUGGGACCGGGAGAGGUGUGGGGUACUUUCGGGGUAGGGGUAAAAUCCUGUCAUCCCGAAAGGACCACCUGUUGCGAAGGCGCCACACUAGAACGGAUCCGACGGUCAGGGACGAAACCUAGGGGCACGAACCGGAUUAGAUACCCGGGUAGUCCUAGGUGUAAACGCUGUGGACUUGAUGUUGGGGGUGCUCCGAGCUCCCUCAGUGUCGAAGCGAAGGUGAUAAGUCCACUGCCUGGGGAGUACGGUCGCAAGGCUGAAACUUAAAGGAAUUGGCGGGGGAGCACUGCAACCUGAGGAUUGUGCGGUUUAAUUGGAUUCAACGCCGGAAAACUCACCAUGGCCGACGGACAAAUGAAGGCCAGCGUAACGAGCUUGCUGGAUUGUUCGAGAGGUAUUGCAUGGCCGUCGUCAGUUCGUACCGCAAGGCGUUCUGUUAAGUCAGAUAACGAACGAGACCCUCAUCCCUAUUUGCCAGUUGCAUCGCCAGAUGCAACGCACUAUAGGGAGACCGCUGUCGAUAAGGCAGAUGAAGGCGAGGGCAACGGUAGGUCAGUAUGAUCCGAAUGCCAUGGGCUACACGCGCAAUACAAAGGACGGGACAAUGGGCUGCAACUCCGAGAGGAACGACGCUAUCCCGAAACCCGUUCGUAGUUCGGAUUGAGGGCUGUAACUCGCCCUCAUGAAGCUGGAUUAGGUAGUAAUCGCGUCUCAAUAG
This 1176-nucleotide ribosomal RNA is filed under the name uncultured marine group II euryarchaeote HF200_44E05. Its description in RNAcentral is "bacterial SSU rRNA". It matches the Rfam family "Archaeal small subunit ribosomal RNA", at positions 132 to 1311 of the family's 1478-position model. Lineage: Archaea; Methanobacteriati; Thermoplasmatota; Candidatus Poseidoniia; Candidatus Poseidoniales. The record is from RNAcentral.